GCCUGGGCGACGCCGGAGAUGCAGUUGGAGGCUGCGGGAACGCAGAGUGACACUAACUGCCAGGUAACUGUCUCUCAGGACAUUUGUGCUUUGAGUCUGUGCAACUCUGGACCAUCUCUGCAGGGUAAAAGAUGUGCCUGUUGCUAAGAGGAGGAGCCCUGCAGCAGGAAUCCAGUGCCAGCUGACCUGGGAGCAACCUGAUCUCCAGAAAGCAUACCUGUUAUACUCAAAUGGGCCUUCCAGAUGAGCCCU
RNAcentral lists this non-coding RNA (252 nucleotides) under Pongo abelii (Sumatran orangutan). The record is from RNAcentral. Lineage: Eukaryota; Metazoa; Chordata; Mammalia; Primates; Hominidae.